CAAAAAAUGAAGUUAAAAUAAAAAAUCAUGCCGUUGUCACCAUUUUGCCUUCUUGUUCUGCAUCGGUAAUUUACUGCUCCUCUGGUAUUGAGAUAAACAGAUGACUAAAAGACCCAAAUGUUCAUUACAUCAUGGUACCAUUGGCGGGUUCAUGUGGCAAACAUGUUUAAUGUUUUAUGUGCAUAACAUCCUUGACCAACAGCCAUUCAUAGCCCCGAAAGCAAUGACAUUGUUUUGGAAAUUUUUUCGUUUAGGUUGGUUUAUGUUUCUAACAUUCUUUGGUACGUUUUCACAUGUAAUUCAUGGUAAAACCUAAUGCUUAGUUGCAAAACCUCAUUAUUUGUGCUAAAUUGUGGUCUGAGGG
Molecule: long non-coding RNA, 364 nt
Filed under: Arachis ipaensis
Lineage: Eukaryota; Viridiplantae; Streptophyta; Magnoliopsida; Fabales; Fabaceae
Description: long non-coding RNA (AIPA_LNC001688)
Source: RNAcentral